UUAUUAUCGCGUUUUUUCUUAUAAUUUCUGUUCUACAUCGAGUAUUCCUGCAUUCCAAAGGGAAAGUUUGUGAUCCUUAGAUGGCUAAAAAAGCCCACCAAUUUGGAUAAUUAUGGCCGGUAGGUGCUCCAGGAAAAAGGGUGAGGAUAUUUGUGGAAGAAAUAACGUCGUACGAUGCCGAUGGAGGCGAUUGUUGCAUUCGCAUGUUGCAGCCAAAUCGCAUGACUAUUUUCGUCGAACCUGUACGUUGCCUACGGGUCGAUGGCAACGACGGCUUGACCGGCUACAACCAGGAGGAAAAGGAGUCAUCGGUGCGAAUGUACUUAAACGGGUAGAUUCAUCGGAACUUGCGACAUUGAAUAGCAAAGAAAUGGUUUAUCUAAUAAAUUUAUGUAAAUAGUU
Molecule: long non-coding RNA, 402 nt
Organism: Culex pipiens pallens (northern house mosquito)
Lineage: Eukaryota; Metazoa; Arthropoda; Insecta; Diptera; Culicidae
Exons: 2
Source: RefSeq, a predicted model, not a curated record